AGAAAAAAAAAAGAAAUAAAGGAAAAAAAUACGAAAAAUAAUAAAGAAAGAAAGAAAGAAGAAAAAAAAGUACGUUCCACUCGCGAAUAAGGGGAACCAAUAAAAAAUCAUAUAUAAGAAAAAUAGAAGACUAAUUCAAACGGAAUAAGGAUAAUAAGGAAGAGAGGAAAGUGUUUAUUUAAUCGUUGCGUUAUUCGCUAAUAAAUAUUCGUUUGAAGAAAGAAAAGUUGUUGGCGCCUAGUCUAAUCGCCUGGCACGAUGGCUUGCGAAUUUACUAAGCCCAAACGAUGGCCGAUCCACGCGGCUUCAAGCCAAUAAAUCAGUUGUGGCAGAGCGUGGCAGUACCAACGGAUCCGGAUUCGGAAUACUUGUACGAGGAGAUUUCGGGCCUUUCGGGGUCCCAGGAUUCGAGGCAGGGCCGGUGGGGGCCGCUGUCGUUGGGGAGGAGGAAGAGGAAGAGGAAGAGGAGGAAGAGGAGGAGGAAGAAGAA
Molecule: long non-coding RNA, 490 nt
Filed under: Polistes fuscatus (common paper wasp)
Lineage: Eukaryota; Metazoa; Arthropoda; Insecta; Hymenoptera; Vespidae
Description: uncharacterized LOC122524113, transcript variant X2
Source: RNAcentral